This 232-nucleotide ribosomal RNA is filed under the name uncultured bacterium. RNAcentral's name for it is "partial 16S ribosomal RNA". It matches the Rfam family "Bacterial small subunit ribosomal RNA", at positions 15 to 240 of the family's 1533-position model. The record is from RNAcentral.
GAUCCUGGCUCAGGAUGAACGCUAGCGGCAGGCUUAACACAUGCAAGUCGAGGGGCAGCAUAAUGGAUAGCAAUAUCUAUGGUGGCGACCGGCGCACGGGUGCGUAACGCGUAUGCAACCUACCUUUAACAGGGGGAUAACACUGAGAAAUUGGUACUAAUACCCCAUAACAUCAUGAAAGGCAUCUUUUAUGGUUGAAAAUUCCGAUGGUUAGAGAUGGGCAUGCGUUGUA